UAACUUGCCCAAGAGAUCGGGAUAACACCUGGAAACAGAUGCUAAUACCGGAUAACAACAGAUGAUGCCUAUCAACUGUUUAAAAGAUGGUUCUGCUAUCACUCUUGGAUGGACCUGCGGUGCAUUAGCCAGUUGGUAGGGUAACGGCCUACCAAGGCGAUGAUGCAUAGCCGAGUUGAGAGACUGAUCGGCCACAUUGGGACUGAGACACGGCCCAAACUCCUACGGGAGGCAGCAGCC
RNAcentral lists this ribosomal RNA (240 nucleotides) under uncultured Lactobacillus sp. RNAcentral's name for it is "partial 16S ribosomal RNA". It matches the Rfam family "Bacterial small subunit ribosomal RNA", at positions 122 to 355 of the family's 1533-position model. The record is from RNAcentral. Lineage: Bacteria; Bacillati; Bacillota; Bacilli; Lactobacillales; Lactobacillaceae.